AUUGAACGCUGGCGGCAGGCCUAACACAUGCAAGUCGAGCGGAUGAAGGGAGCUUGCUCCUGGAUUCAGCGGCGGACGGGUGAGUAAUGCCUAGGAAUCUGCCUGGUAGUGGGGGAUAACGUCCGGAAACGGGCGCUAAUACCGCAUACGUCCUGAGGGAGAAAGUGGGGGAUCUUCGGACCUCACGCCAUCAGAUGAGCCUAGGUCGGAUUAGCUAGUUGGUGGGGUAAAGGCCUACCAAGGCGACGAUCCGUAACUGGUCUGAGAGGAUGAUCAGUCACACUGGAACUGAGACACGGUCCAGACUCCUACGGGAGGCAGCAGUGGGGAAUAUUGGACAAUGGGCGAAAGCCUGAUCCAGCCAUGCCGCGUAUGUGAAGAAGGUCUUCGGAUUGUAAAGCACUUUAAGUUGGGAGGAAGGGCAGUAAGUUAAUACCUUGCUGUUUUGACGUUACCAACAGAAUAAGCACCGGCUAACUUCGUG
RNAcentral lists this ribosomal RNA (484 nucleotides) under uncultured bacterium. RNAcentral's name for it is "partial 16S ribosomal RNA". It matches the Rfam family "Bacterial small subunit ribosomal RNA", at positions 30 to 507 of the family's 1533-position model. The record is from RNAcentral.